AUACGAGGGGUGCAAGCGUUAAUCGGAAUUACUGGGCGUAAAGCGUUCGUAGGCGGUUUGUUAAGCAAGAUGUGAAAGCCCUGGGCUCAACCUGGGAACUGCAUUUUGAACUGGCAAGCUAGAAUACUGUAGAGGGUGGUGGAAUUUCCAGUGUAGCGGUGAAAUGCGUAGAGAUUGGAAGGAACAUCAGUGGCGAAGGCGGCCACCUGGACAGAUAUUGACGCUGAGGAACGAAAGCGUGGGGAGCGAACAGGAUUAGAAACCCUAGUAGUCC
This 274-nucleotide ribosomal RNA is filed under the name uncultured bacterium. RNAcentral describes it as "partial 16S ribosomal RNA". It matches the Rfam family "Bacterial small subunit ribosomal RNA", at positions 523 to 796 of the family's 1533-position model. The record is from RNAcentral.